Molecule: ribosomal RNA, 526 nt
Filed under: uncultured bacterium
Lineage: Bacteria
Description: bacterial SSU rRNA
Rfam family: Bacterial small subunit ribosomal RNA
Source: RNAcentral
AAUAGAUACCCGGGUAGUCCAUGCCGUAAACGUUGGGAACUAGAUGUAGGGCCUGUCCCACGGGUUCUGUGUCGUAGCUAACGCAUUAAGUUCCCCGCCUGGGGAGUACGGCCGCAAGGCUAAAACUCAAAGGAAUUGACGGGGGCCCGCACAAGCGGCGGAGCAUGCGGAUUAAUUCGAUGCAACGCGAAGAACCUUACCAAGGCUUGACAUAUAGAAGAACACUGUAGAGAUACAGGACUCUUUGGACACUUCUAUACAGGUGGUGCAUGGUUGUCGUCAGCUCGUGUCGUGAGAUGUUCGGUUAAGUCCGGCAACGAGCGCAACCCUCGUCCUAUGUUGCCAGCACGUUAUGGUGGGAACUCAUGGGAUACUGCCGUGGUCAACACGGAGGAAGGUGGGGAUGACGUCAAAUCAUCAUGCCCCUUAUGUCUUGGGCUUCACGCAUGCUACAAUGCGGUACAGAGGGCUGCGAUACCGCGAGGUGGAGCGAAUCCCAAAAAGCCGGUCUCAGUUCGGAUUGGGU